UUGAACGCUGGCGGCAGGCCUAACCCAUGCCAGUCGAACGGUAACAGGAAGCAGCUUGCUGCUUCGCUGACGAGUGGCGGACGGGUGAGUAAUGUCUGGGAAGCUGCCUGAUGGAGGGGGAUAACUACUGGAAACGGUAGCUAAUACCGCAUAAUGUCGCAAGACCAAAGAGGGGGACCUUCGGGCCUCUUGCCAUCGGAUGUGCCCAGAUGGGAUUAGCUUGUUGGUGGGGUAACGGCUCACCAAGGCGACGAUCCCUAGCUGGUCUGAGAGGAUGACCAGCCACACUGGGACUGAGACACGGUCCAGACUCCUACGGGAGGCAGCAGUGGGGAAUAUUGCACAAUGGGCGCAAGCCUGAUGCAGCCAUGCCGCGUGUAUGAAGAAGGCCUUCGGGUUGUAAAGUACUUUCAGCGGGGAGGAAGGGAGUAAAGUUAAUACCUUUGCUCAUUGACGUUACCCGCAGAAGAAGCACCGGCUAACUCCGUG
RNAcentral lists this ribosomal RNA (489 nucleotides) under uncultured bacterium. RNAcentral's name for it is "partial 16S ribosomal RNA". It matches the Rfam family "Bacterial small subunit ribosomal RNA", at positions 30 to 507 of the family's 1533-position model. The record is from RNAcentral.